Molecule: non-coding RNA, 75 nt
Organism: Mycena rosella
Lineage: Eukaryota; Fungi; Basidiomycota; Agaricomycetes; Agaricales; Mycenaceae
Source: the annotation of a GenBank genome assembly
GGCUAUGUGGUGUAACGGUUAAAUUGCCUGCCCGCCCGGACUAGAAUGUCGCAGGUUCAAUUCCUGCCUUAGCCU